CUAUCUGGCAGGCCACAGCAUUCUGAAGAACAGGGAUAGCACAGAAUCACCAGUUUCUGCACACUGACUUAUGGGACAGCAUGGCUUACAUGGGUUAGAAGAACUUCUAAAUGGGUGAUGAAGACCAGGGCAGACUCUGAAGUCCCCCAAUUGAGUAUGGCAUUGUCACCAACUGGGAUAACCUGGGGAAGAUAAGGCACGACCACAUCUACAAUGAGCCGUUUAUAGCCACUGAGGAACAUGUAGUGCUUCUGACUAUGGUCCCCAUGAGCCUCAAGGCAAGCAAAGAAUGAUGUCUCAGAUCAUGUUUGAAACUCCAAUACACCGGUCAUUAAAGUGGCUAACCUGAC
RNAcentral lists this long non-coding RNA (350 nucleotides) under Rattus norvegicus (Norway rat). RNAcentral's name for it is "long non-coding RNA NONRATT032696". Lineage: Eukaryota; Metazoa; Chordata; Mammalia; Rodentia; Muridae. The record is from RNAcentral.